GUGUUAUCUGACUCUGCUAGCGUUAUCUGACUCUGCUAGCGUUAUCUGACUCUGCUAGCGUUAUCUGACUCUGCUAGCGCCUCAAACGUGUUACUCAGCUGGAGAGGCUGGAGAGGCUGGGUUCUGCGGGGAGGCAGAUGCUGAUUCUCCUGCUUUCUCCUGGACAGCAGUCCAUGGUUCCAUGUUGGAGGGUGUGGGACUGGAGCAGACCAUGGUCUUGGGUUGAGCACCAAGUUUGAGCCUGAUGGGAUAUGGGGAAAAGUGGCAUCAGCCAACUGCAUGGAGGAGGCUAUCUCAGCGUUUGAGUCAAUAAGCUGUUCACUUUCCUUUAUUUCCUAAAGUGUUGGGAUCCUGCAUUCAGUCAGUCAGUGCAGCCUGUGGAAGGGGAAACAGUGCUCAGAGCAUCCAGCCUGUCAGCACCUGAAGGAUCCAACUUACCAAGAAGUAAUCCGACUGAAUCAACGUAAGCCAUCAUGGGAAACAGGGCAAGUAUCCUGGAUGGGCAUGGCUACUACGAGGCUAAAGAAAUUGGCAAGGGAGCUUCUGGUAAAGUUUUCAGAGUGAAGAAAAAGGCAGAUGAAAAGGAAUAUGUC
This is a long non-coding RNA of Conger conger (European conger), 593 nucleotides long. RefSeq lists it as uncharacterized. The transcript is spliced from 4 exons. The record is from RefSeq and is a predicted model, not a curated record. Lineage: Eukaryota; Metazoa; Chordata; Actinopteri; Anguilliformes; Congridae.